UUGGAGGGCAAGUCUGGUGCCAGCAGCCGCGGUAAUUCCAGCUCCAAUAGCGUAUAUUAAAGUUGUUGCAGUUAAAAAGCUCGUAGUUGAAUUUUAGGCCUGGCCGGGCGGUCCGUCUUUGGCGAGUACUGUUCUGUGUCGGGUUUUACCUUCUGGUAAACCGGCAUGUUCUUUUAUUGUGUGUGCCGUGGGAACCAGACCAUUACCUUGAAAAAAUUAGAGUGUUUAAAGCGGGCUUUUGCUUGAAUAGAUUAGCAUGGAAUAAUAAAAUAGGACGUUGGUUCUAUUUUGUUGGUCUAGGACCACCGUAAUGAUUAAUAGGGAUAGUUGGGGGCAUUAGUAUUCAAUUGUCAGAGGUGAAAUUCUUGGAUUUAUUGAAGACUAACUAUUGCGAAAGCAUUUGCCAAGGAUGUUUUCAUUAAUCAAGAACGAAAGUUAGGGGAUCGAAGACGAUCAGAUACCGUCGUAGUCUUAACCAUAAACUAUGCCGACUAGGGAUCGGACGAUGUUAAUUUUUUAAUGACUCGUUCGGCGCCUUACGGGAAAC
RNAcentral lists this ribosomal RNA (547 nucleotides) under uncultured Archaeosporales. RNAcentral's name for it is "SSU rRNA". It matches the Rfam family "Eukaryotic small subunit ribosomal RNA", at positions 548 to 1098 of the family's 1831-position model. The record is from RNAcentral. Lineage: Eukaryota; Fungi; Glomeromycota; Glomeromycetes; Archaeosporales.